CGUGUAGGCGGCUUGGUAAGUCAGAUGUGAAAGCCCAGGGCUCAACCCUGGAAGUGCAUUUGAUACUGCCAUGCUUGAGUAUGGGAGAGGAGAGCGGAAUUCCCAGUGUAGAGGUGAAAUUCGUAGAUAUUGGGAGGAACACCCGUGGCGAAGGCGGCUCUCUGGACCAAUACUGACGCUGAGACGCGAAAGCGUGGGGAGCAAACAGGAUUAGAUACCCCUGGUAGUCC
Molecule: ribosomal RNA, 230 nt
Filed under: uncultured bacterium
Lineage: Bacteria
Description: partial 16S ribosomal RNA
Rfam family: Bacterial small subunit ribosomal RNA
Source: RNAcentral